RNAcentral lists this ribosomal RNA (498 nucleotides) under Miriquidica sp. DS8170. RNAcentral describes it as "eukaryotic LSU rRNA". The stretch from base 179 to 332 matches the Rfam family "5.8S ribosomal RNA". The record is from RNAcentral. Lineage: Eukaryota; Fungi; Ascomycota; Lecanoromycetes; Lecanorales; Lecanoraceae.
GGAUCAUUAAUGAGAUAGGGUCCUUCGGGGCCCGAACCUCCAACCCUUUGUGUAUCUUACCUUUGUUGCUUUGGCGGGCCUUUGGGCUCACGCCCACCGUUCCUCCGGGAGCGAGCGCCCGCCGGAGUCCAUUCAAAUCCUGAUUAUUAGUGACGUCUGAGUACAAUAUAAUAGUUAAAACUUUCAACAACGGAUCUCUUGGUUCUGGCAUCGAUGAAGAACGCAGCGAAAUGCGAUAAGUAAUGUGAAUUGCAGAAUUCAGUGAAUCAUCGAAUCUUUGAACGCACAUUGCGCCCUCUGGUAUUCCGGGGGGCAUGCCUGUUCGAGCGUCAUUACACCUCUCAAGCUCUGCUUGGUAUUGGGUCCUCGUCCCCCGGGACGUGCCCGAAAAUCAGUGGCGACGCAGCCUGACUUCAAGCGUAGUAAUUUAUCUCCCGCUUCAGAAGUCUUCAGGUUGUGUCCGCCAGACAACCUUCUCGCCCACGGCGAGUAUUUUCU